Molecule: non-coding RNA, 115 nt
Organism: Triticum urartu
Lineage: Eukaryota; Viridiplantae; Streptophyta; Magnoliopsida; Poales; Poaceae
Source: Rfam
UAAGUACUCCCUCCGUUCAGAAUUACUUGUCGUAGAAAUGGAUGUAUCUAAACGUAUUUUAGUUCUAAAUACAUUCAAUUCUGAGACAAGUAAUUCCGAACGGAGGGAGUACUGA